This 521-nucleotide long non-coding RNA is filed under the name Chinchilla lanigera (long-tailed chinchilla). RNAcentral describes it as "lncRNA (ENSCLAG00000022473.1)". Lineage: Eukaryota; Metazoa; Chordata; Mammalia; Rodentia; Chinchillidae. The record is from RNAcentral.
AGCUUGUAGGCACUGUAUCCUCUCACAUCCGCACAAGAACAAGGUACAAUUCAAUACGAGAUUUGUACUCUCCAUCCAUCAAAGGUCCUUGUAAAAAGUCUAGAUGUGGAGGCAGAGUCUCCCUUGACCAGACAUGACUGCCAGGAGCUGCUUGAGAAAUGAUCCCAAAGAGCGUGGAUGGCAGAUUUGGGUGGAUGAAAAGAGAAUGAGAGAUGACUUCCAAAGCACCUGAGCCUCACAGUCUGUGCCUUUCAUUUGGAUUUCUGAGACUACCUCUGUGCCGAUUCCUGAUAUGCGGGGUCCGCUUCACUGCUCACGCUUCCCCUCCUGUCAGGCAGGCGAAGAGGAAGAUGGUGUCUGGUGCUUGAUGUUUGCUUGUUUUCUGUGGCCAGUACUACAUGUCAUUACACAGCACUGAAGCUGAAGUGAGGAAAAGAAACUUUUAAAGGCAGCAUUAAAGUUAGCUUUUCUACUUCCUGAUAACAAACAGUUUCAUUUGCAGUGGUCCUGAAUUUAUUAGA